CUCAGCUCUACAAAUUCAAGUUUCUGGCACUGAAGGGUUCAUCCUUCUACAUUUUCAGCACUCCACCGGUAAGCACACUAGACUGGGUACGAGCUGAAAAAAUCUAUAACCUCUGUGAGGUUCUGUUUAAAAUUCACAAGCUCUGGCUUGCUGAUGAUUGCUGGCUACAAGCAAACUUGUAUUUAGGUAUUCAUCAAGACUAUGAUCUUGAAGACCAGAGGCCAUACUGUUUCAGUGUUAUGGUUGGACAUGGCAAGAGUCAUUAUUUCAAUGUAGAGCUUGGCAGUGAGUUGGCAGUGUGGGAGAAAUCUUUUCAAAGAGCAAUUUUCUUGGAAGUUCAAAGAACAGGGGUAAGUAAUGAAUAAUUUGAAUCCUGGAGCCAUUUCAUCAGUAAAAUAUUCUGUAACAAAUUUUAGCAAAGUUACUGCAUAUGUUUAAUAAUUGUUUCAGAUUAAUAUGCACUGUGAGUAAAGAUCUGAGUAUACUUUAAUACACCAAAGGCUUCUGAAAGCUUCAUCAUCACAUAAAUAUUUAUCUGUCUAUGACUGUGUGAUAACACUGUAUGAGUAUAUUAUGACAGUUUGAAAAUUAGAAGUAGUAAUGUAUAAAUUUACUUUGAUUACAAUAAACUGGAAAUUGAUACAUUCUGC
This is a long non-coding RNA of Dromaius novaehollandiae (emu), 650 nucleotides long. RefSeq lists it as uncharacterized. The transcript is spliced from 3 exons. NCBI's taxonomy places the organism in Eukaryota, Metazoa, Chordata, Aves, Casuariiformes, Dromaiidae. The record is from RefSeq and is a predicted model, not a curated record.